AGCGAACGCUAGCGGCGGGCCUAACACAUGCAAGUCGAGCGGAGGGAGCAAUCCUUCAGCGGCGGACGGGUGAGUAACGCGUAGGUAAUGUACCUUCUGGUGGGGAAUAACCGUGGGAAACCAUGGCUAAUACCGCAUAUCGUCCUUACGGAUGAAAGCCUUCGGGCGCCAGAAGAGCAGCCUGCGUCCCAUUAUUUAGUCCUAGUUGGUGAGGUAACGGCUCACCAAGGGUACGAUGGGUAGCUGGUCUGAGAGGAUGAUCAGCCACACUGGAACUGAGACACGGUCCAGACUCCUACGGGAGGCAGCAGUGGGGAAUAUUGCGCAAUGGGCGAAAGCCUGACGCAGCCACGCCGCGUGAGUGAUGAAGGCCU
This 374-nucleotide ribosomal RNA is filed under the name uncultured bacterium. Its description in RNAcentral is "bacterial SSU rRNA". It matches the Rfam family "Bacterial small subunit ribosomal RNA", at positions 29 to 417 of the family's 1533-position model. The record is from RNAcentral.